This 71-nucleotide transfer RNA is filed under the name Ictidomys tridecemlineatus (thirteen-lined ground squirrel). RNAcentral describes it as "tRNA-Thr (AGT) (tRNA-Thr-AGT-16-1)". It matches the Rfam family "tRNA". Rfam says of the family: Transfer RNA (tRNA) molecules are approximately 80 nucleotides in length. Their secondary structure includes four short double-helical elements and three loops (D, anti-codon, and T loops). Lineage: Eukaryota; Metazoa; Chordata; Mammalia; Rodentia; Sciuridae. The record is from Rfam by way of RNAcentral.
GGAGGUGUAGCUCAGUGGUAGAGUGCUUGCUUAGUAUGUAUGAAGCCCUGGGUUCAAUCCCAGCACUUCCA